UGAGGAAUAUUGGUCAAUGGUCGGCAGACUGAACCAGCCAAGUCGCGUGAGGGAAGACGGCCCUACGGGUUGUAAACCUCUUUUGUCGGAGAGUAAAGUGCGCUACGCGUAGCGUAUUGCAAGUAUCCGAAGAAAAAGCAUCGGCUAACUCCGUGCCAGCAGCCGCGGUAAUACGGAGGAUGCGAGCGUUAUCCGGAUUUAUUGGGUUUAAAGGGUGCGUAGGCGGCACGCCAAGUCAGCGGUGAAAUUUCCGGGCUCAACCCGGACUGUGCCGUUGAAACUGGCGAGCUAGAGUGCACAAGAGGCAGGCGGAAUGCGUGGUGUAGCGGUGAAAUGCAUAGAUAUCACGCAGAACCCCGAUUGCGAAGGCAGCCUGCUAGGGUGCGACAGACGCUGAGGCACGAAAGCGUGGGUAUCGAACA
Molecule: ribosomal RNA, 422 nt
Filed under: uncultured bacterium
Lineage: Bacteria
Description: bacterial SSU rRNA
Rfam family: Bacterial small subunit ribosomal RNA
Source: RNAcentral